Molecule: unclassified non-coding RNA, 377 nt
Filed under: Hevea brasiliensis (rubber tree)
Lineage: Eukaryota; Viridiplantae; Streptophyta; Magnoliopsida; Malpighiales; Euphorbiaceae
Source: RNAcentral
GAGGUUGGCUAGAUCCUAGAUGGAUUGAUUUCUGGUAACGCUUUCCCUUCUGCUAGGAUAACAUUAUCAAUUUCAAUUUUCAAGGUCGGAGAUCUCAAUCAAUAUCCGAUAACCACCAGUCCCCCAAAUUCAAGACUUGCAGAGCAAAUGAUCUUCAAUUGAGGUAAGAACUUGUGUCCUUCUAGCAGGGUUAAAUGCUGAGAAUCAGUGGAUAUUUUGUUUUCCUUAGGGAUGUUUGGCUACUUAUGUGCUUAGCAGAUAUUUAAAAAAUUAAAGGGAGCAAUUGGUAGUUGAUGGGAUACCUAUUAACAGCAGCUGAUUCUAUCAACUUUAAAAUAGGAAUUGGUUCAAAUCUGCCCUAUGUUUUUUUUUUUUUU